GGGAUAUAGCUUAAUGAGAGAGUGCAAGCCUAGCAUGCUCAAAGCCCUGGGUUCUAUCCCCAGUAUCACCCA
RNAcentral lists this transfer RNA (72 nucleotides) under Marmota monax (woodchuck). RNAcentral describes it as "tRNA.Ala". It matches the Rfam family "tRNA". Rfam says of the family: Transfer RNA (tRNA) molecules are approximately 80 nucleotides in length. Their secondary structure includes four short double-helical elements and three loops (D, anti-codon, and T loops). Further hydrogen bonds mediate the characteristic L-shaped molecular structure. tRNAs have two regions of fundamental functional importance: the anti-codon, which is responsible for specific mRNA codon recognition, and the 3' end, to which the tRNAs corresponding amino acid is attached (by aminoacyl-tRNA synthetases). tRNAs cope with the degeneracy of the genetic code in two manners: having more than one tRNA (with a specific anti-codon) for a particular amino acid; and 'wobble' base-pairing, i.e. permitting non-standard base-pairing at the 3rd anti-codon position. The record is from RNAcentral. Lineage: Eukaryota; Metazoa; Chordata; Mammalia; Rodentia; Sciuridae.